RNAcentral lists this ribosomal RNA (253 nucleotides) under uncultured bacterium. RNAcentral's name for it is "partial 16S ribosomal RNA". It matches the Rfam family "Bacterial small subunit ribosomal RNA", at positions 524 to 776 of the family's 1533-position model. The record is from RNAcentral.
UACGAAAGGGGCUAGCGCUGUUAGGAUUUACUGGGCGUAAAGCGCACGUAGGCGGCCUUGUAAGUUGGCGGUGAAAUCCCCGGGCUCAACCCGGGAACUGCCUUCAAGACUGCAAAGCUAGAGGAUGCUAGAGGUUGGCGGAAUUCCGAGUGUAGAGGUGAAAUUCGUAGAUAUUCGGAAGAACACCAGUGGCGAAGGCGGCCAACUGGCGCAUUUCUGACGCUGAGGUGCGAAAGCGUGGGGAACAAACAGG